RNAcentral lists this ribosomal RNA (484 nucleotides) under uncultured bacterium. Its description in RNAcentral is "bacterial SSU rRNA". It matches the Rfam family "Bacterial small subunit ribosomal RNA", at positions 29 to 507 of the family's 1533-position model. The record is from RNAcentral.
AUUGAACGCUGGCGGCAUGCCUAACACAUGCAAGUCGAACGGUAGCAGGUCCUUCGGGAUGCUGACGAGUGGCGGACGGGUGCGUAACGCGUGGGAAUCUGCCCAAUAGUGGGGGAUAACCCGGGGAAACCCGGGCUAAUACCGCAUACUCCCUACGGGGGAAAGCGGGGGACCGCAAGGCCUCGCGCUAUUGGAUGAGCCCGCGUCCGAUUAGCUUGUUGGUGGGGUAAAAGCCUACCAAGGCGACGAUCGGUAGCUGGUCUGAGAGGACGACCAGCCACACUGGGACUGAGACACGGCCCAGACUCCUACGGGAGGCAGCAGUGGGGAAUAUUGGACAAUGGGGGAAACCCUGAUCCAGCAAUGCCGCGUGUGUGAAGAAGGCCUGCGGGUUGUAAAGCACUUUCGGCAGGAAAGAAAAGCCAUGCGCUAAUACCGCAUGACCUUGACGUUACCUGCAAAAGAAGCACCGGCUAACUCCGUG